This 441-nucleotide ribosomal RNA is filed under the name uncultured bacterium. RNAcentral's name for it is "bacterial SSU rRNA". It matches the Rfam family "Bacterial small subunit ribosomal RNA", at positions 338 to 795 of the family's 1533-position model. The record is from RNAcentral.
CCUANGGGUGGCAGCAGUGAGGAAUAUUCCACAAUGGGGGAAACCCUGAUGGAGCGAUGCCGCGUGCAGGAAGACGCUUUUCGGAGUGUAAACUGCUUUUAAUAGGGAAGAUUAUGACGGUACCUAUAGAAUAAGGACCGGCUAACUACGUGCCAGCAGCCGCGGUAAUACGUAGGGUCCAAGCGUUAUUCGGAAUUACUGGGCGUAAAGCGUACGUAGGCGGUUUGAUAAGUUGGAUGUGAAAUCCUGUGGCUCAACCACAUGGACUGUGUCCAAAACUAUCUGACUAGAGCAUAGUAGAGGCAAGUGGAAUUUGCGGUGUAGGAGUGACAUCCGUAGAUAUCGCAAGGAACACCAAUGGCGAAGGCAGCUUGCUGGGCUAUUGCUGACGCUCAGGUACGAAAGCGUGGGGAGCGAACGGGAUUAGAUACCCUGNUANUC